GACAGAGGGUGCAAGCGUUGUUCGGAAUUACUGGGCGUAAAGCGUGUGUAGGCGGCCACGUAAGUCGGAUGUGAAAGCCCCGGGCUCAACCCGGGAAGUGCACUCGAUACUGCGUGGCUUGAGUACUGGAGAGGUUGGUGGAAUUCUCGGUGUAGAGGUGAAAUUCGUAGAUAUCGAGAGGAACACCGGUGGCGAAGGCGGCCAACUGGACAGAUACUGACGCUGAGACACGAAAGCGUGGGGAGCAAACAGG
RNAcentral lists this ribosomal RNA (253 nucleotides) under uncultured bacterium. Its description in RNAcentral is "partial 16S ribosomal RNA". It matches the Rfam family "Bacterial small subunit ribosomal RNA", at positions 524 to 776 of the family's 1533-position model. The record is from RNAcentral.